Telopea speciosissima is the source of this 150-nucleotide long non-coding RNA. RefSeq lists it as uncharacterized. The record is from RefSeq and is a predicted model, not a curated record. NCBI's taxonomy places the organism in Eukaryota, Viridiplantae, Streptophyta, Magnoliopsida, Proteales, Proteaceae. The transcript is spliced from 3 exons.
UGAUUGACGUAAUAUUCCUACCAUCAAGGUCCUAUCCGUUCAUCCCUUCAAUAGUAUCCCUCAUCGAUUGCUCAUCGCGGAAAGUAACGAAGCCAAACCCUCUGAUCUCCCAGUCUCACGAUUGCUGAUGAUCUUCGAGAGGGAUUUCAG